RNAcentral lists this long non-coding RNA (449 nucleotides) under Bos taurus (domestic cattle). RNAcentral describes it as "long non-coding RNA NONBTAT019105". The record is from RNAcentral. Lineage: Eukaryota; Metazoa; Chordata; Mammalia; Artiodactyla; Bovidae.
UAGGAUUUCACCAAAGAUGGGGUCAGGACUGAUGACAUUCUGAUUUCAGAGUCCCUGAGAUCGGUGCAUGUUGUUGCCACUUGUUGGUAACUUCAUAGAGUGUGGGGAAUGUGAAACUUCUAGAAAAUUUGAUGCUUCAUUGAGAGAAAAUAAUUGGGAAUAAAUUGCACAGUGAGAUUUGGGGAUGUGUUUGGUCUUCUUAUGUGUGGUCCAGAAGGGAUAAGAAUAUAUAAACAGUGUUGAGUUAAUAUAAACAACACAGUCUUUAAAUAGGCAUCUUGCUGGGCUGUCUUGUUUUUUAAGACUGAGUCACAGAUUCAGAAGUAGGAAGGUAUUCUCAGUCCACACCUUCAACGCUUAGGUCUCCUCUCUUCACGUGACAGAGAGAAAAGAGAUGUUAAAACCGGGGCUUGUGUGUCUUUCAAGGUGACGACUGGUAGUUAGAUUUG